This 303-nucleotide small nuclear RNA is filed under the name Erinaceus europaeus (western European hedgehog). RNAcentral describes it as "7SK RNA". It matches the Rfam family "7SK RNA". Rfam says of the family: 7SK was discovered as an abundant small nuclear RNA in the mid-70s but a possible function has only recently been suggested. Two independent studies have found that 7SK RNA binds the CDK9/cyclin T complex (known as elongation factor P-TEFb). The record is from Rfam by way of RNAcentral. Lineage: Eukaryota; Metazoa; Chordata; Mammalia; Eulipotyphla; Erinaceidae.
UGAUGUGAGAGCUUCUGGCUGAGAGAUCACUCACUUCACUGAUCACCAGGGUUGAUUCAGCUGAUCUGGCUAGCUCCCUCACCACUCCAUGAGUGUCCUUCCUGAAGCUACGUGCUCCAUGGAAGAUGACCUUCCUGGAAUAGAGAUGGACUGGUCUUCAGUAGAGGGAAUCUGCGUAGCUGUGCUCCCCUCCAGACAAGCUCUCAAGAAAGCCCACGUGAAUACUGUGUUGCUUUGCUAUGCACACCACCCAGGUUAGAGCCAAACUUCCAUCACAUUGAGCGAAGCUUUGAUGCUGUGGUU